UACGGAGGGAGCUAGCGUUGUUCGGAAUUACUGGGCGUAAAGCGCACGUAGGCGGCUAUUCAAGUCGGGGGUGAAAGCCCGGGGCUCAGCCCCGGAACAGCCCUCGAAACUAGAUAGCUAGAAUCUUGGAGAGGCGAGUGGAAUUCCGAGUGUAGAGGUGAAAUUCGUAGAUAUUCGGAAGAACACCAGUGGCGAAGGCGACUCGCUGGACAAGUAUUGACGCUGAGGUGCGAAAGCGUGGGGAGCAAACAGG
RNAcentral lists this ribosomal RNA (253 nucleotides) under uncultured bacterium. RNAcentral's name for it is "partial 16S ribosomal RNA". It matches the Rfam family "Bacterial small subunit ribosomal RNA", at positions 524 to 776 of the family's 1533-position model. The record is from RNAcentral.